Molecule: ribosomal RNA, 750 nt
Filed under: Kineococcus radiotolerans
Lineage: Bacteria; Bacillati; Actinomycetota; Actinomycetes; Kineosporiales; Kineosporiaceae
Description: bacterial SSU rRNA
Rfam family: Bacterial small subunit ribosomal RNA
Source: RNAcentral
GAACGGGUGAGUAACACGUGAGCAACCUGCCCCUGGCUCUGGGACAACCACUGGAAACGGUGGCUAAUACCGGAUACGACUCAUCACCGCAUGGUGUGUGGGUGGAAAGUUUUUCGGCUGGGGAUGGGCUCGCGGCCUAUCAGCUUGUUGGUGGGGUAAUGGCCUACCAAGGCGACGACGGGUAGCCGGCCUGAGAGGGCGACCGGCCACACUGGGACUGAGACACGGCCCAGACUCCUACGGGAGGCAGCAGUGGGGAAUAUUGCACAAUGGGCGAAAGCCUGAUGCAGCGACGCCGCGUGAGGGAUGACGGCCUUCGGGUUGUAAACCUCUUUCAGCUCCGAAGAAGCGAAAGUGACGGUAGGAGCAGAAGAAGCACCGGCUAACUACGUGCCAGCAGCCGCGGUAAUACGUAGGGUGCAAGCGUUGUCCGGAAUUAUUGGGCGUAAAGAGCUCGUAGGCGGUUUGUCGCGUCUGCUGUGAAAACUCAGGGCUCAACUCUGAGCUUGCAGUGGGUACGGGCAGACUUGAGUGCUGUAGGGGAGACUGGAAUUCCUGGUGUAGCGGUGAAAUGCGCAGAUAUCAGGAGGAACACCGGUGGCGAAGGCGGGUCUCUGGGCAGUUACUGACGCUGAGGAGCGAAAGCAUGGGGAGCGAACAGGAUUAGAUACCCUGGUAGUCCAUGCCGUAAACGUUGGGCGCUAGGUGUGGGGUCCAUUCCACGGAUUCCGUGCCGCAGCUAACGCAUUA